CCUACUCCUAAAGGGCCAUCUCCCCUCCUUGCCUUCUUUGCUGUCUCUGUGCACUUCAGGCCACAUUCCUCUUCUCCCCUCUGAACUCCUGGAGCUCUUCUUGGCUUGAUCUCUUCUGUAUACAGCAAUAAAUGUCACUGAUUCAGAGACAGGAGGCAUCAUUUGACAUUCAAUCGGGCAUUUCCUUGUGAUAGCUCUUAUAUCACUGUCUAGAAUGAUUAUUUAACUUUUCAUGUCUGUAUAUCUUGUCUUCCCAAUUAUAUUUAAGAUCCUAGAGGGCAGAGACCAGUAGAAGGGGAUGAUGUAUGAUUUGUGACCACAUUAGCUCAAUAAUCUAUGAAGUGAUUUAUUGAAACCACCAAAUCUCAUCUAGAUGGGAGGUGAAUUUUAAUAGGAAUUCAGUCUCUUCCCUAGAUCACUGAACAUAUGAUCACAGCCACGUAUUUAAAAUUCUGUUUGCUAAACAUUAGAUCAUAUCUUCAGUGGUACCUAGCACAAAGGUAGUAAAAUUAUUUGAAUGUAAUUUUAACAGUAACUUCAAAUGAGAAACGAUGGAUUUUUAUGUAAACUAUAUAUGAUAUCUGGAAAAAUGGAGGGACAGUAGUUUUUUCAUGUAGAUGUAUUUUAAUGUCACUCACCUGUGAUUUAGCAGAUCCUAAUCAACAUUAAAUUUUAACCACUCUUGGUUUUAUAAUAGCAACCAUCAUACUGCCAGCAAAUGGUAUCUUAUUUACUCUCAUUAGCCCUUCCUUAUCAUAUAUAUUAGUCAUUUAAAAUAAUUGCAGAGGCUUUAUGUUCACCCUCCAUUUGAAUCUUAGCUUGAUGCCAAAAAUAAUGACUCAAGGGCUGACAAAUUGAUACUGCCUUAUAAUAAAUUUAUGAGGAGUUUAUCAAGCAUGUGCACUGUUCUUUGUCAAGCAUCUUGUAGCUAAACAUAGCAAGCAGACCAUUUAAAGUAACCAUGCUCACGGUAGAAGCUUUUAAGAAUGAUCACAGCUGUAGCUCCUUGAAAAGGCUGAGAUUAAAAAAAAUCACCCUGUGAUCAAUUACUUCUGCUAACAAAUACUUUGGUGAAAAUUUUAUUUUCUGUUGUAAAAAAAAGCUUUAUUUUCAUAUCAUGUGUUGAGUUUUUUAAAAGACCUGUGAAAUAUUAGAAUAAUGCACACUGGUUGAACUUAGGGAAUAGGUAUUCUAACUAGCUCUGUAAAUCCUUGAAAUCAAUUAUUUACAUUAUAUAUAAGGAAUAUUAAAGGAAACUCGGGAAUUUAGACUGUAAAAUGCUGGGCCUUUCAACAUGAGAGAAUAAGAAAUAUGACUAUGAGCUUUUCCUCAAAGAUAAAUACUCUAAUCUGACUCGAAUCACUACAUGUUAAACAUACAUUUUCCCUAUUUGCUGAAUUAAACUAGGAGUUAAUUUGUUUUACAGAUUCCGCAGAAAUUGCAGUGGCUUUGAGCACCAGGCAAACUUACUGAGAAUACAAAGAUCAUGGGUUAAAAGAAAAGAUUCUUUGUGUUACGUCUUCAUGUGUUCAGAUCCCAGAGUCCCUGAAGCAAUAUCAGCCAAGCAUGCCACAUUCUGAUCUUGUAAAUAAAACAUGACAAUCUGAAGGUCAGAAACUGUUUUACCAGGGUCCUCUGACUGCUAAAAGGAGGACCCACAAUUGACACACAUCUUCUGUACAAAUGUCCUUUACUCUGAUGAGUCACCAGAGUUCAAUGUAUAAUCACAUUUCAUACGCUCCCUUCACAUUUCAUAGGCUCCCUUCCAGAGAAUUGAUUAGAAUAACACCCAUUGACUCUUUGCAGUUAUGGCAGUUUAUAUAAUAUUUAUAGUACCACACUAUUUGUUAAUUUGUUCAUUAUCUUGUAAAUUUAUCAUGAUUUCAUCAUGAAAAUGUUAAUAGAAGUUAUAAAGCUAGUUGGAAAGGUGUACUAUAAAAUCAGACACCAUGCAAAAUUAAUUUAAAAUAUACUGUUAAUCACUCACAAGAUACCAAAAAAUAUGAUGAACUAUUUUCAGAAAAAUCUAUUUUGAAAUAAUGCAAUUAUCAGUGAUUAAAACUGAUUGAGUAUCCAUUGAACAUGACAUGAUUUUGAGUCAGAGAACAUACAAAUCAAAGGCACAUUAGAAGGUUUACAGAGGAGGGGAUCCCCCCAGACCAGAAGAGGACAGGUACUGAAGCUGAGCAGGGACUUUAAAAAGGGUUGGUUAUACUUUCUGGGUGGUGCCCUGCAAUGGGUUCUGGGCCAAGAAAGACCCUUUAAGUGCAAAGAAAGUGACUGCUUGCUUUCAAUGAUAACAGAUCGGAGGCUGAGGAUUCCCCAUCAAACCCUUCCACCAAUUUGGGAGAGACCCCUCUCGAAGAGGCUAGCUUUAUAAAAAAAGGCCUUAAGAAAAAGAAGAAAGGGGAUGAUAUAUCAUGUCCCUUAAGAAGUGGCCCAGAGCUAGAACUAGUGGUUGAUCCAUGACCUCACUGGACAUCUUUGUAACUGGAGAAGAUCCCCCACAGACCUUGCUAUGACACAUUGGCCUCUGGAUGAGCUAUCUUCCUCUUCCCCAGCCCUGGAUUAGCACAGCACAGUAGCCAAGAGCUCCAGAAUUUAAUGGGAAGAGAAAUGGUUGAUGCUAGGCCCUUCAUUGGUGCAGAUAUACUAUAGAACAACUUGCUGAGACUUUUAAAUGUAAUUAGGGACCACUCAGUUGUGGGUUAAAAUAAUCAUUUGAAAUAACAAAAUUCUGUGUUAGAGGGCUUUACUUAAUAUUCUGGUGAAUGAGUUCAGUAUUCUUAAGAAAUUAGAGAAGUAAAUAUGAAGUAUAUACCCUAGGCAGACUUUACUUUGUAAAACCUAUACAAACUUAAGGCAAACACAAUAACACAUUCAAGGCAUUUAACAAGGAGUUGUUUAAGAAUCAGAAUAUUCAAGUGUUAGAUUUUUUUUAAUUAAGGCUAUCAUGGUUAUAUUUGUUAGGAUAUGCACAGAGCUAUUACUUCUCUAUUCUGAAAUAUGCUGUCUCCCAUAGAGAACCAAUUUACCCAUCAUAUUUGCCUGUAGUAUGCCAGCAUGGCUAUAUUUUGUAUUAUCACAUCUAAGAUUGAAUCAUUCAAUAAAAGAAGAUUUAAUAGGUGACUAACAACACUCACUUUUCUUUAAAGAAUAAAAUACAUAGAAUUUAAAAAGAGUAAAGAAUAAAAUAUCAGAGACAGAAGCCAUGCAUCUCCAUCUGACUUAACAUGCACUAGGAUAGACCUUAACAUCAUAAUUCACAUGUCAUGUAGAUCAGUGCUUCUCUAGCUAUUGUCGUAGACCAAUACCUUUAUAAAUUAGUGAGAAUAAAUUGUUAGGGAAAUACUUAAAAGCAUACACAGUGUCAGCCCACCGAUCACACAGUAUUUUUUAAAGUUUCACAGAUGUUUCUACAUGCUUAUUUUCAAUCUCUGUCCUUAUUACAGACCAGUAACAGUUUGUGGACCAAUGUCGGUCCAAGGACCACCCUUUGAGUGACCCUGGCCGAUAUAAGUUACAUUCACUACAAGUUCCAUAGGUCAAAAUUAUAUUUUUAUUUAAACUUCAUGUCAAAUAUUCCUUGAAAUAAGAGAGCCAUUGGCAGUGACUUAGACAUCAUCACCCCUUUUCUAUUAACUUUUAUUUUAUCACUUAAUGUAUGUUCAAAAUAAGAUAUCAUUCUGUGCUAAAUAACUUUUGAAAAGUGUAAGCUACCAUCACUCGUUCUCCUGGGUAUUUAUACCACCAGCCUCCAAUCUCAUUCCUUAAAUAAUUUAAGAAAAAGGAGCAUUGAAUGUGGUGUAUACCUGUGUCGUUUUUCUUUCAACCUUAUUUGCAGAAGUUGCAUGCUAAUUCUGGGUGCAAAUUCAGUUCUGUACAUAUGUUCAGUUUAACCUCGUGUUUUUAAAACAUUAGACUUUAAAUGCCUCUAAAUGAGGCAUUGUCAAAUGCCCAGGUCCAGAUAAACAUGAUCCCGGCUCUCUCAGCCUUUGGUUUCUUAGCCAGAGCAUCCUGCUGUAGUGGCAGAGGGUAUGUUGGAGGACAAAUCCAGCUGAAAUAGAAUUUUCAAUCUGCAAUAGAUUAUUAUGAUGCUUUCUGUGCAUUUUAUACAUGUUCCUUAAAUGCUUUUAGAUUCAUUUUCCUCAUUUAUAAAAUGCAGAAAAGAUAAUACUUAGAUCACAGGUUUCUUGGGAAGAUUAAAUGAGGCAAAGUAAAUGCAAUGCCUGGCAUGUGUAGUUGAGCACACAAUAUUAUUACUUCCCUUCUGUAUCUACCUACCCAUGCCUCGUUUCCCCUCACCCUACCCCUGCCCCUGCUCUUUGUACCCUUGGUAUUUUGCCUCUGGUAAAUGUACUGCUUUGCUGGGCUGGAGAGGAGGUUAAAUGAACUCAUCAAAAGUAUACCGUUACUAAGUAUAGAGGAAAUACUAUGCUAAUACUUGCAGCUUUGCCACCUGGAAAAAAGAUGGCUCAAAGAGGGCACUAAGUGAAAAGGGAAGCCCUGAAG
RNAcentral lists this long non-coding RNA (4512 nucleotides) under Sus scrofa (pig). RNAcentral describes it as "lncRNA (ENSSSCG00000061266.1)". The record is from RNAcentral. Lineage: Eukaryota; Metazoa; Chordata; Mammalia; Artiodactyla; Suidae.